RNAcentral lists this ribosomal RNA (253 nucleotides) under uncultured bacterium. RNAcentral's name for it is "partial 16S ribosomal RNA". It matches the Rfam family "Bacterial small subunit ribosomal RNA", at positions 524 to 776 of the family's 1533-position model. The record is from RNAcentral.
UACGAAGGGCCCAAGCGUUAUCCGGAUUGACUGGGCGUAACGCGCUCGCAGGCGGUCGCGCGCGUGGGGGGUGAAAUCUGGCCGCUUAACGGCCAGGCGCCAUCCCAUACGGCGCGACUGGAGUGAUGCAGAGGUCGGUGGAAUUGCCGGUGUAGUGGUGAAAUGCGUAGAGAUCGGCAGGAACACCCAGGGGGAAACCAGCCGACCGGGCAUCUACUGACGCUGAGGUGCGAGAGCGUGGGGAGCGAACCGG